Molecule: long non-coding RNA, 465 nt
Filed under: Equus caballus (horse)
Lineage: Eukaryota; Metazoa; Chordata; Mammalia; Perissodactyla; Equidae
Description: lncRNA (ENSECAG00000029406.3)
Source: RNAcentral
GAGGGAACCAGUGUGAGAGCUCAGCAGCCAGCCAGCCUGAUGAAGGGAGGCCCGCGCCGAACAGAAACAGUACCUUUAUUCCUGCAAGCUAAGUCUUCUAUAGCCGCUUUAUAAAGAUGCAGUUUCUAAGCAAUGCCAGGCUCACACUGCGGCUAUGAUGGUUUAUGCUACAAAAGGCCUGUUAGAAAGUGGGGGAAAAUUGCUGGUCUCACAAAGAUCAUUUCAGCUCUAUCCGGGCCCACUGGACAGCUAACACCAGCAGAAUCAUUUUGGACCAAGAGGGUCAGCAAGAUGACAGGUUGAAGUCCUAACCCAUGUAAAAGAGGAAACCGCCAUGUGAAGGUGACGGCAGAGAUUGGAGCGAGCGGGUGCACAACAAGAAACAAGGACUGACAGCCACCUUCAGACGCUAGGAGGAGGCAAGGAAGGUUUGCCCUCUCAGAGGGAGCACAGCCCUGUUGACAC